RNAcentral lists this ribosomal RNA (303 nucleotides) under Paraplectana sakaguchii. RNAcentral's name for it is "partial 12S ribosomal RNA". The record is from RNAcentral. Lineage: Eukaryota; Metazoa; Arthropoda; Arachnida; Araneae; Araneidae.
AUGUUCCCUAAAUAGGUUUUAUUGUAACCCAUUUUAUCUUUUAUGUAGUCUCCACCAAUUUCUAUCUUAUUUAAAUUUUAUAUACCUCCAUCUUAAGGUUUAUUAAUUAUAUUCCCCCUUAAUAAAAUUUAAAUAAGUUAGGUAAAGGUGUAGACUACAUAAAAGAUAAAAUGGGUUACAAUAAAACCUAUUUAAGGAAAAUUUUUUAAAAUCUAUUCAUAAAAGGGAUUUAUUAGUAAUUUUCUAAAUAGUAAUAAAAUUUGAAUAAGCUAAAAAUGUGCACACAUCGCCCGUCGCUCUAGC